GGUCUGACCUGCCCAGUGACUCUUUAAACGGCCGCGGUAUCCUAACCGUGCAAAGGUAGCAUAAUCACUUGUCCUUUAAAUAAGGACUAGUAUGAACGGUUAAAUGAGGACACAACUGUCUCUUGCAUUUUACCAAUAAAACUGAUCUUUCAGUCCAAAAGCUGAAAUAUACCCAUUAGACGAGAAGACCCUGUGGAGCUUUAAACCAACCUCAUUAACCAUGAUCCCUUGGUUUUUAGUUGGGGCGACUUCGGAGAAAAAAUUAACCUCCAAAAUAAGUAGCUGUUAAAAUAAACAUAUUAAACCAGCUUCUUAAACUCAGACCCAGCAGUCUUAUAAACUGUCUGAUAAAUGAACUAAGUUACCCCAGGGAUAACAGCGCCAUCCUCUUUGAGAGUCCUUAUCAACAAGAGGGUUUACGACCUCGAUGUUGGAUCCGGACACCCCAAUAGUGCAACCGCUAUUAAAGGUUCGUUUGUUCAACGAUUAAAGUCCUA
Molecule: ribosomal RNA, 497 nt
Filed under: Vhembelacerta rupicola
Lineage: Eukaryota; Metazoa; Chordata; Lepidosauria; Squamata; Lacertidae
Description: partial 16S large subunit ribosomal RNA
Rfam family: Bacterial large subunit ribosomal RNA
Source: RNAcentral